GGAGGGGUUCCCGAGUGGCCAAAGGGAACAGACUGUAAAUCUGUCGGCGUACGCCUUCGGUGGUUCAAAUCCACCCCCCUCCACCA
This 86-nucleotide transfer RNA is filed under the name Solidesulfovibrio fructosivorans. It matches the Rfam family "tRNA". Rfam says of the family: Transfer RNA (tRNA) molecules are approximately 80 nucleotides in length. Their secondary structure includes four short double-helical elements and three loops (D, anti-codon, and T loops). Lineage: Bacteria; Pseudomonadati; Thermodesulfobacteriota; Desulfovibrionia; Desulfovibrionales; Desulfovibrionaceae. The record is from RNAcentral. RNAcentral also lists the same sequence under 6 other names.